Molecule: ribosomal RNA, 253 nt
Filed under: uncultured bacterium
Lineage: Bacteria
Description: partial 16S ribosomal RNA
Rfam family: Bacterial small subunit ribosomal RNA
Source: RNAcentral
UACGGGGGGGGCAAGCGUUGUUCGGAAUUACUGGGCGUGAAGGGCUCGUAGGCGGCCAACUAAGUCAGACGUGAAAUCCCCAGGCUCAACCUGGGAACUGCAUCUGAUACUGAUUGGCUUGAAUCCGGGAGAGGGAUGCAGAAUUCCAGGUGUAGCGGUGAAAUGCGUAGAUAUCUGGAGGAAUACCGGUGGCGAAGGCGGCAUCCUGGACCGGCAUUGACGCUGAGGAGCGAAAGCCAGGGGAGCAAACGGG